UAAAACUCAAAUGAAUUGACGGGGGCCCGCACAAGCGGUGGAGCAUGUGGUUUAAUUCGAUGCAACGCGAAGAACCUUACCUGGUCUUGACAUCCACAGAAGUUUCCAGAGAUGGGAUUGUGCCUUCGGGAACUGUGAGACAGGUGCUGCAUGGCUGUCGUCAGCUCGUGUUGUGAAAUGUUGGGUUAAGUCCCGCAACGAGCGCAACCCUUAUCCUUUGUUGCCAGCGGUUAGGCCGGGAACUCAAAGGAGACUGCCAGUGAUAAACUGGAGGAAGGUGGGGAUGACGUCAAGUCAUCAUGGCCCUUACGACCAGGGCUACACACGUGCUACAAUGGCGCAUACAAAGAGAAGCGACCUCGCGAGAGCAAGCGGACCUCAUAAAGUGCGUCGUAGUCCGGAUUGGAGUCUGCAACUCGACUCCAUGAAGUCGGAAUCGCUAGUAAUCGUGGAUCAGAAUGCCACGGUGAAUACGUUCCCGGGCCUUGUACACACCGCCCGUCACACCAUGGGAGUGGGUUGCAAAAGAAGUAGGUAGCUUAACCUUCGGGAGGGCGCUUACCACUUUGUGAUUCAUGACUGGGGUGAAGUCGUAACAAGGUAACCGUAGGGGAACCUGCGGUUGGAUCACCUCCUUACCUUAAAGAAGC
Molecule: ribosomal RNA, 650 nt
Filed under: Salmonella enterica subsp. enterica serovar Anatum
Lineage: Bacteria; Pseudomonadati; Pseudomonadota; Gammaproteobacteria; Enterobacterales; Enterobacteriaceae
Description: bacterial SSU rRNA
Rfam family: Bacterial small subunit ribosomal RNA
Source: RNAcentral